Molecule: ribosomal RNA, 2921 nt
Filed under: Staphylococcus saprophyticus
Lineage: Bacteria; Bacillati; Bacillota; Bacilli; Caryophanales; Staphylococcaceae
Description: bacterial LSU rRNA
Rfam family: Bacterial large subunit ribosomal RNA
Source: RNAcentral
UUAAGUUAUUAAGGGCGCACGGUGGAUGCCUUGGCACUAGAAGCCGACGAAGGACGUUACUAACGACGAUAUGCUUUGGGGAGCUGUAAGUAAGCUUUGAUCCAGAGAUUUCCGAAUGGGGAAACCCAGCACGAGUUAUGUCGUGUUAUCGAUAUGUGAAUACAUAGCAUAUCUGAAGGCAGACGCGGAGAACUGAAACAUCUUAGUACCCGCAGGAAGAGAAAGAAAAAUCGAUUCCCUGAGUAGCGGCGAGCGAAACGGGAAGAGCCCAAACCAACGAGCUUGCUUGUUGGGGUUGUAGGACACUCUAUACGGAGUUACAAAAGAACAGACUAGACGAAUCAUCUGGAAAGAUGAAUCAAAGAAGGUAAUAAUCCUGUAGUCGAAAGUUUGUUCACUCUUGAGUGGAUCCUGAGUACGACGGAACACGAGAAAUUCCGUCGGAAUCUGGGAGGACCAUCUCCCAAGGCUAAAUACUCUCUAGUGACCGAUAGUGAACCAGUACCGUGAGGGAAAGGUGAAAAGUACCCCGGAAGGGGAGUGAAAUAGAACUUGAAACCGUGUGCUUACAAGUAGUCAGAGCCCGUUAAUGGGUGAUGGCGUGCCUUUUGUAGAAUGAACCGGCGAGUUACGAUUUGAUGCAAGGUUAAGCAGUGAAUGUGGAGCCGUAGCGAAAGCGAGUCUGAAUAGGGCGUUGAGUAUUUGGUCGUAGACCCGAAACCAGGUGAUCUACCCAUGACCAGGUUGAAGUUCAGGUAACACUGAAUGGAGGACCGAACCGACUUACGUUGAAAAGUGAGCGGAUGAGUUGUGGGUAGCGGAGAAAUUCCAAUCGAACCUGGAGAUAGCUGGUUCUCUCCGAAAUAGCUUUAGGGCUAGCCUCAAGUGAUGAUUAUUGGAGGUAGAGCACUGUUUGGACGAGGGGCCCUUAUCGGGUUACCGAAUUCAGACAAACUCCGAAUGCCAAUCAAUUUAACUUGGGAGUCAGAACGCGGGUGAUAAGGUCCGUGUUCGAAAGGGAAACAGCCCAGACCACCAGCUAAGGUCCCAAAAUAUAUGUUAAGUGGAAAAGGAUGUGGCGUUGCCCAGACAACUAGGAUGUUGGCUUAGAAGCAGCCAUCAUUUAAAGAGUGCGUAAUAGCUCACUAGUCGAGUGACACUGCGCCGAAAAUGUACCGGGGCUAAACAUAUUACCGAAGCUGUGGAUUGUCCGUAAGGACAAUGGUAGGAGAGCGUUCUAAGGGCGUUGAAGCAUGAUCGCAAGGACAUGUGGAGCGCUUAGAAGUGAGAAUGCCGGUGUGAGUAGCGAAAGACGGGUGAGAAUCCCGUCCACCGAUUGACUAAGGUUUCCAGAGGAAGGCUCGUCCGCUCUGGGUUAGUCGGGUCCUAAGCUGAGGCCGAUAGGCGUAGGCGAUGGAUAACAGGUUGAUAUUCCUGUACCACCAUUAUUCGUUUUAAGCGAUGGGGGGACGCAGUAGGAUAGGCGAAGCGUACGAUUGGAUUGUACGUCCAAGCAGUGAGAUUGAGUGUUAGGCAAAUCCGGCACUCUCAAGAUUGAGCUGUGAUGGGGAGAGGAAAUUGUUUCCUCGAGUCGUUGAUUUCACACUGCCAAGAAAAGCCUCUAGCUAGAAUUGUGGUGCCCGUACCGCAAACCGACACAGGUAGUCAAGAUGAGAAUUCUAAGGUGAGCGAGCGAACUCUCGUUAAGGAACUCGGCAAAAUGACCCCGUAACUUCGGGAGAAGGGGUGCUCUUUAGGGUUAACGCCCAGGAGAGCCGCAGUGAAUAGGCCCAAGCGACUGUUUAUCAAAAACACAGGUCUCUGCUAAACCGUAAGGUGAUGUAUAGGGGCUGACGCCUGCCCGGUGCUGGAAGGUUAAGAGGAGUGGUUAGCUUCUGCGAAGCUACGAAUCGAAGCCCCAGUAAACGGCGGCCGUAACUAUAACGGUCCUAAGGUAGCGAAAUUCCUUGUCGGGUAAGUUCCGACCCGCACGAAAGGCGUAACGAUUUGGGCACUGUCUCAACGAGAGACUCGGUGAAAUCAUAGUACCUGUGAAGAUGCAGGUUACCCGCGACAGGACGGAAAGACCCCGUGGAGCUUUACUGUAGUCUGAUAUUGAAAUUCGGCACAGCUUGUACAGGAUAGGUAGGAGCCUGAGAUACGUGAGCGCUAGCUUACGUGGAGGCGUUGGUGGGAUACUACCCUCGCUGUGUUGGAUUUCUAACCCGCACCAUUUAUCAUGGUGGGAGACAGUGUCAGAUGGGCAGUUUGACUGGGGCGGUCGCCUCCUAAAGAGUAACGGAGGCGCUCAAAGGUUUCCUCAGAAUGGUUGGAAAUCAUUCAUAGAGUGUAAAGGCAUAAGGAAGCUUGACUGCGAGACUUACAAGUCGAGCAGGGUCGAAAGACGGACUUAGUGAUCCGGUGGUUCCGCAUGGAAGGGCCAUCGCUCAACGGAUAAAAGCUACCCCGGGGAUAACAGGCUUAUCUCCCCCAAGAGUUCACAUCGACGGGGAGGUUUGGCACCUCGAUGUCGGCUCAUCGCAUCCUGGGGCUGUAGUCGGUCCCAAGGGUUGGGCUGUUCGCCCAUUAAAGCGGUACGCGAGCUGGGUUCAGAACGUCGUGAGACAGUUCGGUCCCUAUCCGUCGUGGGCGUAGGAAAUUUGAGAGGAGCUGUCCUUAGUACGAGAGGACCGGGAUGGACAUACCUCUGGUGUACCAGUUGUCGUGCCAACGGCAUCGCUGGGUAGCUAUGUAUGGACGGGAUAAGUGCUGAAAGCAUCUAAGCAUGAAGCCCCCCUCAAGAUGAGAUUUCCCAACUUCGGUUAUAAGAUCCCUCAAAGAUGAUGAGGUUAAUAGGUUCGAGGUGGAAGCAUAGCGAUAUGUGCAGCUGACGAAUACUAAUCGAUCGAAGACUUAAUCAA